UCCAUAGCUCAAUUGGUAGAGCAUGAGACUAUUAAUCUCAGGGUUGUGGGUUCAAGCCCCAUGUUGCGCAA
RNAcentral lists this transfer RNA (71 nucleotides) under Podarcis lilfordi (Lilford's wall lizard). Its description in RNAcentral is "tRNA.Asn". The stretch from base 5 to 62 matches the Rfam family "tRNA", at positions 8 to 63 of the family's 71-position model. From Rfam's summary of the family: Transfer RNA (tRNA) molecules are approximately 80 nucleotides in length. Lineage: Eukaryota; Metazoa; Chordata; Lepidosauria; Squamata; Lacertidae. The record is from RNAcentral.